AGUGAAACACGGGGCGGACAACAAGGAAAACGUGACAUGGAACGUGAUCAGUGGAGAGUGAAACAGAAAACACGGGGCAGACAACACGGGAUCGUAACAAUUUGCUUCUGAAAAUAUUAUAUUUUUACAGACAUGAUCCACAAACACAUCAGCAAAAGAAUGAAAUCAUACAUCAAAACGCGUCAUCAGUAUGUAUUUGAAGGAUUGGUAAAGCAGAGAAAACGACACUCCUGAAUAAGAUCUACACAGAGCUCUACAUCACAGAGAGUGAAAGUGGAGAGAUCAGUUAUGAACAUGAGUUGAGACAGAUAGAGAAACAAUCCAGGAGAACAACAACAGAGGAUUCACAAAUCAAAUGCAAUGAGAUCUUUAAACCUUUACCGGGACAAGACAAACCCAUCCCUGUGCUGACAAAGGGAGUCGCUGGCAUUGGAAAAACAGACUCUGUGCAGAAGUUCAUCUUCGCUUCCUCAUGUGACUUUCAUUGGAGUCAAAUCAUACCAUCCUAGAAGGGCUUUUAGUGAAAUGGACAUACAGCUCCCUGGAAAGAACAAAAACCACUAAGUAUUUCAAGGAAAAAAUACAAAACAGUUAUUGUCCAAACGAUUGUCUCCUUCUGUUCCACUGUCUAAAUGAACUUUGAGCAUUCUGUUACAAAUGAAAUCCAAAGCUACUUGAACUCUGUAAAACUAAAUAAGAAAGGCAUGUCUAGAACACACUGGUCAGCUCUGGUGUACAUUUUAACAUCCUGAAAUGAAAAGUUUGAUGAGUUUGAACUUCAUAAGUAUGGCAGAUCAGAUGAAACCGUUCGCUGGAUGCACCCUGUGAUUAAGUUGUCUACAAAGGCUCAGUUACGUGACUGUAAUAUCACUUUAUCUAAUGUGAGAGAGCUGGACUUGAGCCACAAUACCCUGGAAGACUCAGGAGUUGAGAUGCUCUGUACCAGAGAAAAGAGAUCACAUCACAAAGAAUGGGUUUUGUCCAACUGUGAUGUCACAAAGGAAGGUGUAUCAGACCUGGCUGAAGCUCUGAAAUCAAACCCCUCUCACCUGACAGAGCUCAAUCUGCUGG
Xyrauchen texanus (razorback sucker) is the source of this 1071-nucleotide long non-coding RNA. RefSeq lists it as uncharacterized. The record is from RefSeq and is a predicted model, not a curated record. NCBI's taxonomy places the organism in Eukaryota, Metazoa, Chordata, Actinopteri, Cypriniformes, Catostomidae. The transcript is spliced from 3 exons.